GACGAACCGAGCGAACGUUGUUCGGAAUCACUGGGCUUAAAGGGCGCGUAGGCGGGCUGCCAAGUUUGGGGUGAAAUCCUCCGGCUCAACCGGGGAAGUGCCUUGAAUACUGGCGGUCUGGAGGGAGGUAGGGGCGUGCGGAACUGUAGGUGGAGCGGUGAAAUGCGUUGAUAUCUACAGGAACUCCGGUGGCGAAGGCGGCACGCUGGACCUUUUCUGACGCUGAGGAGCGAAAGCGUGGGGAGCGAACAGG
RNAcentral lists this ribosomal RNA (253 nucleotides) under uncultured bacterium. Its description in RNAcentral is "partial 16S ribosomal RNA". It matches the Rfam family "Bacterial small subunit ribosomal RNA", at positions 524 to 776 of the family's 1533-position model. The record is from RNAcentral.